CCUACGGGAGGCAGCAGUGGGGAAUAUUGCGCAAUGGGCGAAAGCCUGACGCAGCGACGCCGCGUGAGGGAUGAAGGUCUUCGGAUCGUAAACCUCUGUCAGCAGGGAAGAACGGUCACUGUGCUAAUCAGCAGUGAAUUGACGGUACCUGCAAAGGAAGCACCGGCUAACUCCGUGCCAGCAGCCGCGGUAAUACGGAGGGUGCGAGCGUUAAUCGGAAUUACUGGGCGUAAAGCGCUCGUAGGCGGUAUGUCAAGUCAAGGGUGAAAUCCCCGCGCUCAACGUGGGAACUGCCUUUGAAACUGGCAAACUGGAGUGUGUGAGAGGAUAGUGGAAUUCCAGGUGUAGGAGUGAAAUGCGUAGAGAUCUGGAGGAACAUCAGUGGCGAAGGCGACUAUCUGGCACAUAACUGACGCUGAGGAGCGAAAGCGUGGGUAGCAAACAGGAUUAGAUACCCUAGUAGUC
RNAcentral lists this ribosomal RNA (465 nucleotides) under uncultured bacterium. Its description in RNAcentral is "partial 16S ribosomal RNA". It matches the Rfam family "Bacterial small subunit ribosomal RNA", at positions 338 to 795 of the family's 1533-position model. The record is from RNAcentral.